AUUGAACGCUGGCGGCAGGCCUAACACAUGCAAGUCGAGCGGAUGAAGGGAGCUUGCUCCUGGAUUCAGCGGCGGACGGGUGAGUAAUGCCUAGGAAUCUGCCUGGUAGUGGGGGAUAACGUCCGGAAACGGGCGCUAAUACCGCAUACGUCCUGAGGGAGAAAGUGGGGGAUCUUCGGACCUCCCGCUAUCAGAUGAGCCUAGGUCGGAUUAGCUAGUUGGUGGGGUAAAGGCCUACCAAGGCGACGAUCCGUAACUGGUCUGAGAGGAUGAUCAGGCACACUGGAACUGAGACACGGUCCAGACUCCUACGGGAGGCAGCAGUGGGGAAUAUUGGACAAUGGGCGAAAGCCUGAUCCAGCCAUGCCGCGUGUGUGAAGAAGGUCUUCGGAUUGUAAAGCACUUUAAGUUGGGAGGAAGGGCAGUAAGUUAAUACCUUGCUGUUUUGACGUUACCAACAGAAUAAGCACCGGCUAACUUCGUG
This 484-nucleotide ribosomal RNA is filed under the name uncultured bacterium. RNAcentral describes it as "partial 16S ribosomal RNA". It matches the Rfam family "Bacterial small subunit ribosomal RNA", at positions 30 to 507 of the family's 1533-position model. The record is from RNAcentral.